GUUGUAAAGUACUUUCAGCGGGGAGGAAGGGAGUAAAGUUAAUACCUUUGCUCAUUGACGUUACCCGCAGAAGAAGCACCGGCUAACUCCGUGCCAGCAGCCGCGGUAAUACGGAGGGUGCAAGCGUUAAUCGGAAUUACUGGGCGUAAAGCGCACGCAGGCGGUUUGUUAAGUCAGAUGUGAAAUCCCCGGGCUCAACCUGGGAACUGCAUCUGAUACUGGCAAGCUUGAGUCUCGUAGAGGGGGGUAGAAUUCCAGGUGUAGCGGUGAAAUGCGUAGAGAUCUGGAGGAAUACCGGUGGCGAAGGCGGCCCCCUGGACGAAGACUGACGCUCAGGUGCGAAAGCGUGGGGAGCAAACAGGAUU
This 365-nucleotide ribosomal RNA is filed under the name Shigella flexneri. RNAcentral's name for it is "bacterial SSU rRNA". It matches the Rfam family "Bacterial small subunit ribosomal RNA", at positions 422 to 779 of the family's 1533-position model. The record is from RNAcentral. Lineage: Bacteria; Pseudomonadati; Pseudomonadota; Gammaproteobacteria; Enterobacterales; Enterobacteriaceae.